Molecule: transfer RNA, 88 nt
Filed under: Rubripirellula obstinata
Lineage: Bacteria; Pseudomonadati; Planctomycetota; Planctomycetia; Pirellulales; Pirellulaceae
Description: tRNA-Ser
Source: RNAcentral
CACUACCUUGGCGAACGCCGAGGAUGUCGGUUUCAUUCGAGUUGAAGCGAUCGCAAAGCCGAUCGAGGUUCAGAUUCUCGGUGAUGAC